Molecule: long non-coding RNA, 554 nt
Filed under: Lathyrus oleraceus (garden pea)
Lineage: Eukaryota; Viridiplantae; Streptophyta; Magnoliopsida; Fabales; Fabaceae
Description: Pisum sativum (pea) long non-coding RNA (PSAT_LNC022283)
Source: RNAcentral
AACAUAAUCUAAAAAUUCAGAUAAUUUUAUACCAAAAUGGAGUAAAACAGCAUUUUAGUCUUUGAAAUUGUAAGAGCCGGACAAUUUAGUCUCUCAAAUUUGCGAAAUAGCUGAAAUGCUGAUUUUGAACUUACAACACUUUGCUUUUGCAACUCUAUCUUUCAGGGUGUUUUUCUUGAUAGCUGAGAUGUGCUUAUUGGCGGGAUCAGUUGAAAAUGCUUAUCACACAAAGUACAGGACCAUCAUUUACAAUGAUCCUCCUUCUUGUGAGACAGUAAGGAAAGGAGUUUUUGCUGCUGGUGCCGCCUUCAUUUUCUUCACCUCCAUCAUUUCGAAGUUCUAUUACAUCAACUACUCGAGUGCGAGGGAAAGUUUCCAACCAUAUCUUGGAGGUGGUGAGACUGGCGUUGGGAUGGGAACCUACAAAUGAGCUUGUUAGUCUCAUUCUUGUCUAAAAUGUGGCUAUAUCUGAAACUCGAUUCCGUAACAUUUAUGUCGCAUUUAUUAUAUUUUACGGUUUUAGAGGCUAUACUAGAAUGUAUAAGUUGUAUGUU